This is a long non-coding RNA of Spinacia oleracea (spinach), 984 nucleotides long. RefSeq lists it as uncharacterized. The transcript is spliced from 2 exons. Lineage: Eukaryota; Viridiplantae; Streptophyta; Magnoliopsida; Caryophyllales; Amaranthaceae. The record is from RefSeq and is a predicted model, not a curated record.
ACGAAAAUCCCAUGGUCAAUGCGGGUCAAGUGUUUAAUGAACUUUUAGCAACCUUUAUGGGCUCCAAACGCUGCGAAAUAAUGGAAAAGAAAUAAAAAAUGUAAUCGCAACGCGCGUGGUGAGUGAAUGAUGUAAAUAUGGGCGCGUUGAAACUUACCUUUUCAUCACAAUGUUUCUCGCAUUCUCCGCUCGCCCAUUUCAUACUCCCUCAAACCCUAGCAUACACCCUUUCUCUCUCUCUCUCUCUCUCUCUCUCUCUCUCUCCCCCUCUCUCUCUCUCUCUCUCUCUCUCUCUCUCUCUCUCUCUCUCCCUCCCUCCCUCCCUCUCUCUUUCUCUUCUUCAGAUCAAACAUCGUUUAGGUUGGAAUUCCGCCGUUUUCAUCGAUGGUCAAAGGAAUGUCGCGUUAUCAUCAGAUAUUAAGCUAAUUUUGGUACCGAUUUAUGCUCUCACCAAGAAUUCCAGAAAUUAGGUCACAGUUUGGUGUUUUUCCACCAGAUUUUGGAGCUAUUUAAGCAUUUUAUGACCUGGUAUUUAUGGAGGAAGCUUCAAAUUAAUUUGUUAUUUUUCUUUGGUUUUGGAGAAGCGAAGCCAUGGGAGAAGACAACCAUAGUAGGAGAAGCGAAGCUACACGAAUUGAACCAUGAUUCUUCCAGUUUGUUGCUUCGCCAACGGCAAGAUAAUAAUUGGAAACUAGCGGGACACUAAAGGGUACUACUUAUUCUUUACUUAUUUCUAUUUCCAUUUUGGUUCUUUGUACUUUGUUACUUAACAAUUAGUAUUUGUGUUUAAUUUUGAGAUUCUUUCAUGAAAUUGUUUCAAUGGAUUAUUCUGUUUAUGGUUGUGAAUUUAAGCCAUUUUCAUUUCGCAAUCGUCGAGUGUAGCUGGGGUUACUUGUUUUGCUGAUUAAGUUAUGUGGUUUUGUAUUGUUGGAAAGAACACUACUUCUUGCUUUGUUGUUAUCGAGAAAGUUUUUGUACUUAUUA